CAGCAGCCGCGGUAAUACCGGCGGCCCGAGUGGCGGUCACUAUUAUUGGGCUUAAAGCGUCCGUAGCCGGGUUGGGAAGUCCUCCGGGAAAUCUGGCCGCUUAACGGUCAGAAUGCCGGAGGAUACUCCCAGCCUAGGGAGCGGGAGAGGCCGAGGGGAUUCCCGGAGUAGGGGUGAAAUCCUAUAAUCCCGGGAGGACCAACUGUGGCGAAGGCGCUCGGCGGGAACGCGUCCGACGGUGAGGGACGAAGGCCAGGGGAGCAAACCGGAUUAGAUACCCGGGUAGUCCUGGCUGUAAACGAUGCGGACUUUGUGUCGGACAAGCUAUGAGCUUGUCCGGUGCCGGAGGGAAACCGUUAAGUCCGCCGCCUGGGGAGUACGGCCGCAAGGCUGAAACUUAAAGGAAUUGGCGGG
Molecule: ribosomal RNA, 414 nt
Filed under: uncultured microorganism
Description: bacterial SSU rRNA
Rfam family: Archaeal small subunit ribosomal RNA
Source: RNAcentral